UACGUAGGGGCUAGCGUUGUCCGGAUUUAUUGGGCGUAAAGAGCGUGUAGGCGGCCAGGUAGGUCUGCUGUGAAAACUCGAGGCUCAACCUCGAGACGUCGGCGGAAACCAUCUGGCUAGAGUCCGGAAGAGGAGAGUGGAAUUCCUGGUGUAGCGGUGAAAUGCGCAGAUAUCAGGAAGAACACCCGGUGGCGAAGGCGG
RNAcentral lists this ribosomal RNA (201 nucleotides) under uncultured bacterium. RNAcentral's name for it is "partial 16S ribosomal RNA". It matches the Rfam family "Bacterial small subunit ribosomal RNA", at positions 524 to 724 of the family's 1533-position model. The record is from RNAcentral.